AUCCAAUUUGUGAACAUUAGAAACAGUAAAUCUACCAAUAUGACUAGUAUUUGUAAUCAUUGGACCUUUGGAAAUAUCAACAUGUUGACCAACUUUGAAUAAUGAAAUUUUACCACCAUUAUUUGCAGCAAUAUCAGAAUUUAUAUGGAGCUAGAUGUUUUUGAAGCAAUGGGGAAUACUAAAAAAACUCAUGAUAAAUUCUUUUGGGAUGAAAGUACUGACUGAUUUGUUUUGGAAAUUACAUGCCCUUGUAUAGUUUGUCAAUCCCUUCAUUAUGUCAUAUGGCUAGUGGAACGACAGAAGAAAAAAGAAGAGGAUAUUCAAGGUUUUUUUGUCACUGAAUGAUUGUGUUUGAUGAAGCGUGCCUAAUUGAUAGUGUUAUUUGUUGAGUUAAUGAUGCUAUCCAUAUGGAUUAUUUUAGGUUUGUGUCUUUGUGAUUAUCCAUAUUUUGUGUAAAACUGGGAAAAUUAUAAGAGAAUUCGCAAUGAAACAUUGAACGCUGUAAGUCAAGAGAAAAGAACUUAUCUACAAACUUCAACUGAAAAUGCAAAACAUCUCAAGUCUCUGUGGAGACUAGCUGAACUCAAUAUAUAUGUCAUUAAAUAAAAAUUUGCCCUCAGGCAUAGAUCUGCCAGAGGAUUUGAACAAGUAUUUCUUAAAUUUUGCUCAGGAUCAGGGUGUAGAUGAUGUGUCGGUUAUUAAUUAUUACAACACAAAUCAAUAUUUUGAAUUGCUGCAUUCUGGAUUCGGAGUUCCCUAUGGAGUGGAAGAUUUCGAGAGUGUUGCCACCUCCUAAGGUGACUAACCCUACUACUUUCAACGAAAUUUAAAGUGUUAGUAUAUAGAAUAAGGACUCAUCUGGAGAAAUAUAAUAUCUUACCAUCUCGAUAGUCUGGUUUCAGAAGAGCGUUUUGUUUUUGCACGGCUCUUCUUGAUGUUGUUGACUCUAUCAUUUCAAGGUGGAUUCAGGUGAGAUUUGUGUUUUGACAUUAUUAGAUUAUUCAGAGGCGUUCGAUAGAAUAAACCAUAAAAUACUAAUUGCAAUUUUGAAAUAUAUAGGAUUCUCUAUGUCUGCCAUUAGGUUGAUGAUAGAUUACCUCCAGGAUCGAUGUCAGUAUGUGGAGAUAUCGUCGGGAAGAUCUUAAAAAGGGGGCUGUGAAGUGUGGUGUUCCUCAGGACUCUGUACUUGCACCUAUUCUCUUUUGUAUAUAUACACGUUUCAUUCUGGAUAGACUCAAAUCUUGUACUGACCUUCGAUAAGCCUAUGAUACACAGAUAAAACAAAGGUUCUCGUUUUUGGCAGCAAGGCGGCUGAUAGAUUAAAAUUAGGUGUCAACAGAAGUAAGGUUGCAACUGUCAGAUCAACUUGAAAUUUGGGAGUCAUUAUGGAUGUUGACCGGUUCACUGAGUAUCAUUAUGUGCAUUGAGAAGGCAAUACCCUUAUAGACAUUUCCUGUCGCAGAAGUCGAAGAUACAGCUUACUAACUCGCUUGUCUUGAGUCAUUUCAAUUUUUGUGACGCGUUGUAUGGCCCCUGCUUACGUCUGGAGGACAGGGUGAGAAUCCAGCGAGUACAGGGUGCGUGUUUAAGGUUUAUUUAUGUCAUCAGAAAGUAUGAACCAGUUAUUCAUAAGUUGAAAUGGUGCAAUUGGUUAAAUAUGGAUCAGAGACGUGAGCUUCACUCUGUGGUUUUGUUCCAUUCAAUUAUUAUUAACAAUUUGUAUUGUUUUUUAUUAUUAACAAUUUGUAUUGUUUUCAAUAGCCGAGUGCUAAAUAAAGUUUAUUAUUAUUAUUAA
Molecule: long non-coding RNA, 1795 nt
Organism: Harmonia axyridis
Lineage: Eukaryota; Metazoa; Arthropoda; Insecta; Coleoptera; Coccinellidae
Exons: 3
Source: RefSeq, a predicted model, not a curated record